AUGCGUCAACCUAGUGUUUGGUUUGUGUGGGGCGCAAUUCUAGCAGGUCUCAGUCAUGAAGAUUCUGUCACUCAAUCUUUAUCCUCAUAUAGUUUGGCAGAAGGAGAGGCAGUGACUCUAAACUGUACCUAUGAUACGACAUCGAGCAGCUAUUCAUUAUCGUGGUACCGACAACACCCAGACAAUCAACUCGAGUACAUACUGAGGAAUGAUAAUGACGGUUAUCAGCAUUCUGCGGAUUUUGCACAGCAUCGCUUCUCAGCAGAACUUCAGACAUUGAAGAAAUUCACCAGUUUGACUAUAACUGGGCUACAGUUGAUUGACACUAAUGUGUAUUACUGCACUUUAUGGGACUACACAGUGAUGUGA
This is a non-coding RNA of Hemiscyllium ocellatum (epaulette shark), 369 nucleotides long. NCBI's taxonomy places the organism in Eukaryota, Metazoa, Chordata, Chondrichthyes, Orectolobiformes, Hemiscylliidae. The record is from the annotation of a RefSeq genome assembly.